UGCCAGCAUCCGCUGUACUACAUAUUGUGCGAUCGUUAAUCGGAAUUACUGGGCGUAAAGCGUUCGCAGGCGGUUUUAUAAGUCAGAUGUGAAAUCCCCGAGCUCAACUUGGGAACUGCGUUUGAAACUGUAAGACUAGAGUGUGUCAGAGGGGGGUAGAAUUCCAUGUGUAGCAGUGAAAUGCGUAGAUAUGUGGAGGAAUACCAAUGGCGAAGGCAGCCCCCUGGGAUAACACUGACGCUCAUGAACGAAAGCGUGGGGAGCAAACAGGAUUAGAUA
RNAcentral lists this ribosomal RNA (279 nucleotides) under uncultured bacterium. RNAcentral's name for it is "partial 16S ribosomal RNA". It matches the Rfam family "Bacterial small subunit ribosomal RNA", at positions 506 to 784 of the family's 1533-position model. The record is from RNAcentral.